GCCAUUCCCUUCUCCAGGGAAUCUUCCUGACCCAGGGAUUGAACCCAGGUCUCCUGCAUUGCAGGCAGAUUCUUCACUGUCUGAGCUGCCAGGGAAGCCUCUUUAUCGCAGUGUUUAUGGUAAUCUACCAACGGAACUCUGUCCUGAGCUCCAAGGCGUGCUUGUGCCACUGAUUAAGCUGUGUGACCUGAACGAGUCACCGUCAUUUUCUCUUCUGUAAAUUGGACUGUCAUUGUGUUUUCUCCUUCAGGAAGGCUGUGAGGUUCACGUGUGCAAUAGUGAGGUUCACGUGUGCAAUAGUGAGGUUCACGUGUGCAAUAGGCACAGAUGUGCCCUUUGAAUUCUGUAGUUCCAAGUACAUUGAAGGCGUCUUGUUAGAAAAGAUCCUUCUAAAUGUACUGUUUACCUGAUACCAGCUAUCAGUUUUGCCCUAAGUUUGCAUUUAUCAAAAUGCCAUAAAUUUAUGCAGUUAGCCAAAUAAUAAAUCUACUUGGAUGAAAAUAAAUAGUUUGAGGUUUUGUUUGUUUUGCUUUCAAGUCAGAUCAAGAAGUGCAAAUGUCUCUUUGAAGGAAUAUAGGUUAGAUUUUUGUCAUUUCAAAAAUGUUGUAUUUAACUUUGUUUUAUGCAAGAUUCAUAUACAACUUGCCGAAAGUAAUAUUUGCAUGGACCUUGCUAACGUGUUUAUUAGCAUACUUGUAAUCAUGGUAUUUCACCUUUUUCCUCUGGAUUAAUUGGUUAAAUUAAUUGAGAAAUGUGUUGUAUUUUCUGUUAAAUAAAAAUUUUGCAAAGAAAA
Molecule: long non-coding RNA, 793 nt
Organism: Capra hircus (goat)
Lineage: Eukaryota; Metazoa; Chordata; Mammalia; Artiodactyla; Bovidae
Exons: 2
Source: RefSeq, a predicted model, not a curated record